Molecule: long non-coding RNA, 210 nt
Filed under: Elaeis guineensis (African oil palm)
Lineage: Eukaryota; Viridiplantae; Streptophyta; Magnoliopsida; Arecales; Arecaceae
Description: long non-coding RNA (EGUI_LNC029231)
Source: RNAcentral
CGACCAUCACGAUAACUUGUAAGCAACUCACUGUACUUUAGUAUCGGACCAUCUGAGUUUCUAACUCAGUGACGGAAGACUACUGGAUGCAGUCAAGUACUUAUCAAGUCGGUGUGUGAGUCAAGAUGGAAUUGACCCCUUUGAAUUGGUAGGAGAUAUGCAUCAGUGUAUUUCAAUUCAGUAAAAUCUUGACCAGGAUAAUCCUUGAGA